AAUAGGCAGAAAGGAGAACUGAAGGAGAAGUCUAGAGAAGCCAGCUACACCUACAUUAGAAAGAGUGGAACAGAUCACGGGUCACAGGAUUAAGGCUAGAUGGGGUUUGAGAUGUGGGAAGACUUGAGGUCAUUUUGAGUUUUGAGAAAAGGAGAGACAUGAAGAGGCAGAAAACAUGUUUACUGGACCCAGCUACUUUGCAGUGAUUAGUGGGACCUUCAGAACAUAAAUAGAUCCUAAGGAGUGAAUGCUUGUACCCCUUCCAAAAUUUAUAUGCUGAAGCCUUUAUAUGGUUGUAUGUAAAGACAGACCCACUAAUGAAGUAAUUAAGGUUAAAUGGAGUCAUAAGAGAGAGGCCCUAAUUCCAUAAGAUUAGUGUCCUUAUAAGAAGAGACUCCAGAGAACUCACUUUCUCACUCUCUCCCUCCCUUUCCUUGCAUACAAACCAAGGGAAAAUCAUAUGAGAACAUAGCAAGAAGGUAGCUGUCUGAAAGCCAGGAAGAGAGGCCUCAGCAGGAAAUGAAUCAGCAAGAACCUUGAUCUUGGACUUCUAGCCUCCAGAAUUAAAUCCGUCCUGGAAUUUGGCACAUGUAUGGGAUAUGGAUAGAAAAUAAGAGCAAAGAGGAAUUCAAGAUAAUGAGGCAAUAUAAACAAAAGUUGAAAAGAGAAAAUGAGCAUGCAGUGCCUAGAGAUGCCAAGGAAUCCAGAUCACUGAGGUCGGAUAGAUGUGUCUUUCCAGAAUUUGAUGAGGUUAACCAGGUAGAGCCAGAUGGUAGAGAUCCUUGAAUACCAGGCAAGGGAGUUCAUCUCUCCACCUGUAAGCAUGAAGGAGCCACGGGAGAUUUUGCAAAGGGAAUGACCAAAACGAAAAUGGCAUUUAGGAAAUGAGUUUGCCAGAAGUACCUGGGAGAAAUGGGGACUAGGCACUGAGAAUGUAAUUCAUAGCACAGCAGAACAGAUACUAAAAGAUCGUUCUGGAAGCAGAAGGGCUGGUUUCCAGCUUUUCUGAGGUUGUUUCACUGUGGGUAACUGCUAAGGCCUUCACCCUUGAUGCCAGAGGUGCUGAAACACAUUGCCACACGGCGAAAGAAGUGCCCUAUUGGCCCAAACACAUUGAAUAAACAUCUACCUCAAACCUU
This 1139-nucleotide long non-coding RNA is filed under the name Homo sapiens (human). RNAcentral's name for it is "HSALNT0401019". Lineage: Eukaryota; Metazoa; Chordata; Mammalia; Primates; Hominidae. The record is from RNAcentral.